CACAAUGGGGGAAACCCCGAUGCAGCGAUGCCGCGUGAGUGAAGAAGGCCCUUGGGUUGUAAAACUCUUUCGUCGGGGAAGAAAAUGACUGUACCCGAAUAAGAAGGUCCGGCUAACUUCGUGCCAGCAGCCGCGGUAAUACGAAGGGACCUAGCGUAGUUCGGAAUUACUGGGCUUAAAGAGCUCGUAGGUGGUUAAAAAAGUUGAUGGUGAAAUCCCAAGGCUCAACCUUGGAACUGCCUUCAAAACUUUUUAGCUAGAGUGUGAUAGAGGUAAGUGGAAUUUCUAGUGUAGAGGUGAAAUUCGUAGAUAUUAGAAAGAACACCAAAUGCGAAGGCAACUUACUGGGUCACUACUGACACUGAGGAGCGAAAGCAUGGGUAGCGAAGAGGAUUAGAUACCCUCGUAGUCCAUGCCGU
RNAcentral lists this ribosomal RNA (419 nucleotides) under uncultured bacterium. RNAcentral's name for it is "bacterial SSU rRNA". It matches the Rfam family "Bacterial small subunit ribosomal RNA", at positions 367 to 803 of the family's 1533-position model. The record is from RNAcentral.